RNAcentral lists this ribosomal RNA (440 nucleotides) under uncultured bacterium. Its description in RNAcentral is "partial 16S ribosomal RNA". It matches the Rfam family "Bacterial small subunit ribosomal RNA", at positions 338 to 795 of the family's 1533-position model. The record is from RNAcentral.
CCUACGGGAGACAGCAGUGGGGAAUAUUGCACAAUGGGGGAAACCCUGAUGCAGCGACGCCGCGUGAGUGAAGAAGUAAUUCGUUAUGUAAAGCUCUAUCAGCAGGGAAGAAAAUGACGGUACCUGAGUAAGAAGCCCCGGCUAACUACGUUCCAGCAGCCGUGGUUAUACGUAGGGGGCAAGCGUUAUCCGGAUUUACUGGGUGUAAAGGGAGCGUAGACGGCAGGGCAAGUCUGGAGUGAAAGGCGGGGGCUCAACCCCGGGACUGCUCUGGGAACUGGACGGCUGGAGUGCGGGAGAGGCAAGUGGAAUUCGUCGUGUAGCGGUGAAAUGCGUAGAUAUUAGGAAGAACCCCAGUUGCGAAGGCGGCUUACUGGACUGUAACUGACGUUGAGGCUCGAAAGCGUGGGGAGCGAACAGGAUUAGAUACCCCUGUAGUC